GACGAACGCUGGCGGCGCGCCUAACACAUGCAAGUCGAACGGAGUUAUUUGAAAGCUUGCUUUUGGAUAACUGAGUGGCGGACGGGUGAGUAACGCGUGAGUAACCUGCCUUAAAGAGGGGGAUAACGUCUGGAAACGGACGCUAAUACCGCAUAACAUAUUGUUUUCGCAUGGAGAUGAUAUCAAAGGAGCAAUCCGCUUUAAGAUGGACUCGCGUCCAAUUAGCUAGUUGGUGAGGUAACGGCUCACCAAGGCCACGAUGCGUAGCCGACCUGAGAGGGUGAUCGGCCACAUUGGGACUGAGACACGGCCCAG
This 315-nucleotide ribosomal RNA is filed under the name uncultured bacterium. Its description in RNAcentral is "bacterial SSU rRNA". It matches the Rfam family "Bacterial small subunit ribosomal RNA", at positions 28 to 334 of the family's 1533-position model. The record is from RNAcentral.